Molecule: ribosomal RNA, 585 nt
Filed under: Buckleyzyma cf. aurantiaca CBS 10211
Lineage: Eukaryota; Fungi; Basidiomycota; Cystobasidiomycetes; Buckleyzymales; Buckleyzymaceae
Description: eukaryotic LSU rRNA
Rfam family: Eukaryotic large subunit ribosomal RNA
Source: RNAcentral
GGAUUCCCCUAGUAACGGCGAGUGAAGUGGGAAAAGCUCAACUUUGUAAUCUGGCAGCUUCGCUGUCCGAGUUGUAGUCUCGAGAAAUGUUUUCCGCGCUGGCAUGUGUAUGAGUCUGUUGGAAUACAGCGUCAUAGAGGGUGAGAACCCCGUUCAUGACACAUCUCCCAGUGCUCUGUGAUACAUUUUCGAUGAGUCGAGUUGUUUGGGAAUGCAGCUCAAAAUGGGUGGUAAAUUCCAUCUAAAGCUAAAUAUUGGCGAGAGACCGAUAGCAAACAAGUACCGUGAGGGAAAGAUGAAAAGCACUUUGGAAAGAGAGUUAAAAGUACGUGAAAUUGUUGAAAGGGAAACGCUUGAAGUCAGACGUGCGCAGUGCGAUUCAGCUCUAUUUCGGUAGAGUGUAUUUCGUGCUAUUGCAGGCCAGCAUCGGUUUUGUGAGCCGGAUAAAGGUUAGUAGAAGGUAGCAUCUUCGGAUGUGUUAUAGCUUCUAACUGAAUACGGAUUGCGAGACCGAGGGACGCAGCACGGCGCAAGCCAGAAGAUUCGUCUUCUUCGUGCUUAGGAUGCUGGUGAAAUGGCUUUAAA